UCAGGUUGGAAUAUUUUAUUCUUUCAAGGACAAUUAUGAAGUCAAGAGGACCCACUUUAACACGUCAAAACAAUGGAUUCACCACAUCAACAUAUUUUACAGUCACUGAAGUCAGAGGCAUGGUCUAGAAAUCCUCCUUUAUACGAGGAAGGCCUCACCUCCACAAUAGAAGUCGUCAACAUUGGCCAUGUACAAUAAUAGUAAUUUUAAACAGACUGCAGAAAUACCAAAUGGCCAGAUGUUACCAUUCAAGGAACCCCUUCGAAGCAGAAGCUGAGACCAGGUGGACCACUCCUGUAUUACACCAAUGGUCCAUUUAGGAAUGUUCAAAAGUAAUCAGCGAACAGAGUUGAAUCAAAGUAUGAAAAUCACUCAAAAUACUAUUCCAAAUGUUGCUUUUGGGACUUCUGUCAUACAGUCAAACAUUCACAUUAAAUUACAUAUUCAGUAAAUUAACUGUUGGUAAGAAAGAGGGAACGCCCAGUUGAAUCUCUCCAUAUGUUAAAUGGAUUGAAAUUGUACACACUUUCCUAACAGUUUCAAGUCAGUGAACUACAGAGGAUGUAUGGUGCCAUUUUGGAAAAGGGGGGUUGUAUUAAAAUGGAUGCGAGUUGAUGACAGUUGAGAGACGGUUAACUUUCAAAGGGGUCAAACUAAAUAUACUUUCAUCUGUAAAACUGAGGGACAACAGUUUCACAGCUAAUUCAUUAGAUAAAAAAAAAAAAAAUACAUAAAAACACAAAGAAAAAGGCUAACUGUUUUGAGGAAGUUAUGGAUGUUCUGCUCAAGUACCAUCGCUCCAUUAGAGUAAAUGUCAGCCUAACAGAUCAUUCAAGCUCUAAGUCCCCAAAAAACAGAAAGAAAGCAAAAAAACAAAAAAAAACAAGGAAAGGAUAGUUCUGUAGGAAAAAUUCAAAUUCUCCACACAUUUACAGGUGUUCACAGGCCUGAGGAGAUAACAGACAACAGAUGAUCACCUAAAAUCCGAUAUACCACUAUGUCAUCCACAGUUCACUCACCGUGGAGAAAGACCACUUG
This is a long non-coding RNA of Esox lucius (northern pike), 1038 nucleotides long. The record is from Ensembl. NCBI's taxonomy places the organism in Eukaryota, Metazoa, Chordata, Actinopteri, Esociformes, Esocidae.